GUUGCAGUGAGAGAAAGAAGUACUUGCGUUACCUCAUGAAAGCGACCUUAGGGCGGUGUAAGCUAAGGAUGAGCACGCAACGAAAGGCAUUCUUGAGCAAUUUUAAAAAAGAGGCUGGGAUUUUGUUCUCAGCAACUAGGGUGGAACCGCGGGAGAACUCUCGUCCCUA
RNAcentral lists this unclassified non-coding RNA (169 nucleotides) under Bacillus subtilis. Its description in RNAcentral is "T-box GlyQS leader (155-MER) from Bacillus subtilis (PDB 6POM, chain A)". The record is from RNAcentral. Lineage: Bacteria; Bacillati; Bacillota; Bacilli; Caryophanales; Bacillaceae.